Molecule: long non-coding RNA, 350 nt
Filed under: Polistes fuscatus (common paper wasp)
Lineage: Eukaryota; Metazoa; Arthropoda; Insecta; Hymenoptera; Vespidae
Description: uncharacterized LOC122520065
Source: RNAcentral
UUAUCCCGCCGUUCGUUGCCAAGCGCUACGAUUGGUUGCUCUCUUGUCUUCCUUCGAUGUUCACUAGCAGCGUCCUCUGAAGGACGACAUGGUAAUACAACGUCGCUGUUGCCGAGGGAAUUUCGGAGUACGCAAUUGUCCCAGCUUCCACGGCGAUACAUUAUUCAAUUUUCGGAAGAAUCUAAUUCUCCUCAAUGCAAUGAGUAUAGAAGAAGUUUAUUCGACGAUGGGUAAAGGCCGAAGUACGAACGAAAACAAUGGAUGAAUGGUCCAAGAAAAGACCGUCUCUUUACUACACCAAGUGGCAAACGAGUCUGCUGCUGCUGCGAGAAGAGAGAGUAGAAGUAGAA